UGAUGGGCAGGUGAAAGUGGGCGGGGAGGAAAAAUUUGUACGGGCGGGUGAAAUGUCACCCGUCUUGAGACGCCAUCAAACGGGGUGAAAUUCCACCCGUUUAUCCAAAGAGGGAGCGGGUGAAAUUUCACCCGCUCGAAAUAUACCCAUCAAUGCUUUUCUGCUGCCGCGCUCGAAGUCCCUCCGCAACGCUCGACCUCCCUCCGCAGCGCUCGAAGUCCCUCCGCAACGCUCGACCUCCGCAACUCCUCCUCCCUCGUGCCUUCUCACUGCCAGGUCUCACCGUCGACCGUCGCAAGACCCUCAAGCGGCAGGCGUCGGAGGUUUUUCUGCCGGGUUUCACAGUCGACCGUCGCAACACCCUCAAGCGGCCGGCGUCGGACAUUUUUCUGCCGCAGAAAAUCACAUGCAUGAGUAUCUCCAGAACAAGUAUGGUGUGCAAGUAAGCAGGUCUCCACUCAUUGAAGAUGUCAUCGCAAAGCAAGAUAUAAAAGACACGAAGUUUGAAGAACGAAAGUGCAGCCAGAAAUGUUGGAUUACUUGUUUUGUGAUUACAUGUUUUCUUUGUUGGAUAUGUACUCAUUGAACUUUGUUUUUUCUUCUUAGUAGAAAGUACACCCUUUUGUGGAUUCGUACUCAUGUUACUUUUGUGGACAAUUUCUGUUUAAUGUUUUUGGGAACAAAUAUAUAACUUUUGCAGUUGUAGAUUAAGU
Long non-coding RNA from Nymphaea colorata (pocket water lily), 713 nucleotides. RefSeq lists it as uncharacterized. The transcript has 3 exons. Lineage: Eukaryota; Viridiplantae; Streptophyta; Magnoliopsida; Nymphaeales; Nymphaeaceae. The record is from RefSeq and is a predicted model, not a curated record.